Molecule: long non-coding RNA, 620 nt
Organism: Bombus huntii
Lineage: Eukaryota; Metazoa; Arthropoda; Insecta; Hymenoptera; Apidae
Exons: 3
Source: RefSeq, a predicted model, not a curated record
AUGCAGGAAUCUUAGCCUCAUGAGAAAUUAGAGAUGAAAAUGAGUGGGAAAAGAUUAAUCGAGGACACAAUAGUAUUAUUCCAGGAAGUGCUAGUUCUUCCUAGAUUCCGGUUACAAUGUUCUUAACGCGUGGAAAUUAGUCUUGACCAGGAAACAUCUAUAACGGCAUGUAUUUUCUGCCGUGAUUGUAAAUCUGUUUGGAACAUGCGGUUUGUCCGUUAAUCUAGGCGCUGUUGUUCAAUUGAGUCAAUAUUAUUUGUUGGUAGAUUAGUGUGUGCAAGAGCGCUCUAUCCAUUAUUGACCAAUUCGAGCACGUAUUGGUAAAUUUCACACCGGCAAUUACGGUGAAAUCGUUCGUGGUCGCUGGAAAUUGGCAGUAUCGUUUGCGGUCGUGAGCUGAUUGACACUGCGUGAGCGGGGAAUUAUGUGAAGCAGCUUUGCUUUGUCGUUUCAUGCAUUUAAUAGGUUUACGGCGGUGGACAGAGUUUGUAAAAAAUGAAGACAAGGAGUAACAAGUACCUGCAAAAAUCAUCCAUCAGCCGGAUAUGUGCUGUCGGAGGGUUUUUCAUUAGCAUUCCCGUCUUUCUAACUGGUAUGAUAUUGUAUACAUUCAUCCAGUU